UCACAGAAAAAUGCAGAGUCGAAGAAUCGAAUAAGCCAACCACUCUCUCCAAUAUCCUCACUCGUUGGGAUUGUCCGAGUUACCUCCCGAGGUGACUCGGCCGGCUCUCCUCGCGUCAAUCCCAAUAACCUCACCAUUGUCAAAUCAUCAUAAACACCACAAAACCCUAAAACCUAACACAAACCCUAACCCUAUAUAUUUUUUGUCCAUCUCACAGCUGCCCUAAAUCAUAUCACUACUAUAUACAGUAUAACCAAUUCAAAAUUCGAAAUUCAAGCAACUUCAAUCAGUGAAAAUUCAAAAUCAAAGCAACUUCUUCCGAUGAAUUCACUGAAUUCCGAUCAAAUUACUAAGAGAAAUCAAAGCAACUUUUCGAAGGUAAUAAGAGCAGAGAUAUUCUGAAUUUUAUCGGAAAUGAAGGGAUCCGACGAAGAUAACCAAAUAUAUACCGUCCGGCGACGGUGGAACAACGUCGUAUCACCUCGCUAAAGCUCCGGCGAAACCAACCCAAGGCGGAGUCUUUUUGGGGGGGCGAGGUGGAGGUGAGACAUUAUCAAAUCAUCAUAACCACCAUAAAACCCUAAAACCUAACACUAACCCUAACCCGAUGAUUUUUUUUCCAACUCACAGCUGCCCCAAAUCAUAUCACUACUAUAUACAGUACAACCAAUUCGAAAUUUGAAAUUCAAGCAACUUCAAUCAGUGAAAAUUCAAAAUCAAAGCAACUUCUUCCGACGAAUUAACUGAAUUCCGAUCAAAUCACUAAAGAGAAAUCAAAACAACUUUUCGAAGAUAAUAAGAGCAGAAAUAUUCUGAAUUUAAUCGGAAAUGAAGGGAUCCGACGAAGAUAUCCAAAUAUAUACCGUUCGGCGACAGUGGAACAACGUCGUAUCACCUCGAUAAAACUCCGGCGAAACCAACUCAAGGCGGAGGUUUUUAGGGGGAUGAGGUGGAGGUGAUCAGAGGCGUAAUGUAAAAAAUGGAGGGCAGAAAAAACAGGAUGGGUGCUAACGUGCGCUGUGUAUGUUGGGUGAAGUUUCAACUUUCAACCUCUAGUGAAUAGUGAGUGAAGGGGGUACGUAAUUGACGGGGAAAGGAAGCAAUAUAGCAAGCGAAAUUCAAAACUUUUUAUGG
Molecule: long non-coding RNA, 1134 nt
Filed under: Nicotiana benthamiana
Lineage: Eukaryota; Viridiplantae; Streptophyta; Magnoliopsida; Solanales; Solanaceae
Description: long non-coding RNA (NBEN_LNC012552)
Source: RNAcentral